UAUUUGACACGCAUCAAAAAAGCACAAAAAGAAAACAGAUCUGUGGUUUAUUCGCUUUGAGGGAAUUUUAUAAAUAUUUUGCAAUCCUGUAUAACACGAAUAAAUUCAUAAUGAAGGGGCAACCUACGAAGGAUGUAACGCAGUUAAUUCAUGAAAUAAAAGUCGGGAACGUGGAAGGCUCUUACAACAUUACAACAAAAACAUUGAAAUUAUUUAAGAAAAUUAUCAAUGGUCUUGGAUGGGCGCAUGCAGAUGAACUCAUGAACAUAGUGCGUACGCAAGGACAUAUUCUGCAAUCCGCAAUGCCGCAGGAGACUGUAACCGCCAAUAUUGCUCGUCGCAUUCUGAAGCUGAUACGUGAGGAGUUCGACUUACUGCAAGCAAAGGUACACCAAUUCACAGAUGAUCAAGCGUCCAUGUCACUGCACAAACUGGUUACACAAACGAGCAAUGAUGUUAGCGUCGAUUACACGAAACCACAACAGGGGUUACGUGAGGCACUGCUGGAUCAUUUGCAAGAAAUCGAGACAGAAUUGGAAACAAGUUCAGAAAAUAUUUGCGCGCAAGCUGAAGAGCAUAUACACUCCUCAGAGGUUAUACUAACUUUAGGGCACUCGCGUAGUGUUGAAAAUUUCCUUAAACGUGCUGUGAAGAAACGCCAAUUCUUGACUAUCAUCAUAGCUGAGUGUGCGCCCGAUUGCAGAGGUCACAAUUUGGCAGCGAGCUUGGCAAACGGUAACGCAGAGAUAAUCGUUAUACCAGACUCUGCCAUUUUUGCAAUGAUGUCGCGCGUCAACAAAGUCAUCAUUGGUACACAUAGUGUACUUGCUAAUGGAGGGCUGCGUGCGGCUUGUGGUUCAUAUACGGUUGCUCUAUCUGCUAAACAUUAUUCAGUACCGGUUAUUGUACUGUCGCCUAUGUACAAAUUGUCGCCGGUACAUUUGUGCUCAUUGGAGCAAGACGCAUUCAAUUUGGUAGGCUGCGCGGAAGAUGUUAUCGGAUACGACUCGCUGGCUUCUCACUCUGCUAAAGUAUACAGUCCCAUAUUUGAUUACGUACCACCAGAGCUUGUAACGUUGUUCAUUUCAAAUAUAGGUGGCCAUGCACCGUCAUAUGUGUACCGGCUAUUGACUGAACUCUACAAUCCAGAAGAUUAUGAGAUUUAAAGAACAGCGCCACUAUUUUUAAACUUCCACACCCUAAAAAUUCUAGCCUAAGCAUUUCAAGCUUUCGCAAUAAGUAAAGCACACAAACACCAGCAACAACACCAAAGUAAUCAUCAAUCGCAGCAGUGACCACAACAUACCCAAGGCAGAGAACACAGAAGACACCAAGCCAAC
Molecule: unclassified non-coding RNA, 1340 nt
Filed under: Rhagoletis pomonella (apple maggot)
Lineage: Eukaryota; Metazoa; Arthropoda; Insecta; Diptera; Tephritidae
Description: translation initiation factor eIF-2B subunit beta, transcript variant X2
Source: RNAcentral